RNAcentral lists this ribosomal RNA (387 nucleotides) under uncultured bacterium. RNAcentral describes it as "partial 16S ribosomal RNA". It matches the Rfam family "Bacterial small subunit ribosomal RNA", at positions 355 to 733 of the family's 1533-position model. The record is from RNAcentral.
UGGGGAAUUUUGGACAAUUGGGCGAAAGCCUGAUCCAGCAAUGCCGCGUGUGUGAAGAAGGCCUUCGGGUUGUAAAGCACUUUUGUCCGGAAAGAAAUCCUUGGCUCUAAUACAGUCGGGGGAUGACGGUACCGGAAGAAUAAGCACCGGCUAACUACGUGCCAGCAGCCGCGGUAAUACGUAGGGUGCAAGCGUUAAUCGGAAUUACUGGGCGUAAAGCGUGCGCAGGCGGUUUGCUAAGACCGAUGUGAAAUCCCCGGGCUCAACCUGGGAACUGCAUUGGUGACUGGCAGGCUAGAGUAUGGCAGAGGGGGGUAGAAUUCCACGUGUAGCAGUGAAAUGCGUAGAGAUGUGGAGGAAUACCGAUGGCGAAGGCAGCCCCCUGGG